GCGGGUUCCGGGGCGGCAGCAGCGAAAUCGCGGUCUUGAAUGCUGAAAAGAGCUGCAACGGUCUCAGGAGAAUUUUCGCGGAUGGGGCUUGUGAAUGAAGCCAUGGUCAGUUCCGGAGCGUUAUCGUUGAUAUCUACCACCUGUAUUAUGACAGUGCAUUUUCCAGAAAGACCUGCCCCAUCAGAGGCUUUAAUAUCCACCUGAUAUGACACAAUUUUUUCAAAAUCUAGUUUUCUGAUUAUUUUAAUUUCUCCCCUUCGUUCAUUAAGUGCAAAUGUCUUAGAAAUCUCUUCAUCACCA
This 300-nucleotide long non-coding RNA is filed under the name Homo sapiens (human). RNAcentral's name for it is "non-protein coding lnc-TAF7-1:11". Lineage: Eukaryota; Metazoa; Chordata; Mammalia; Primates; Hominidae. The record is from RNAcentral.